AUGGACGCCGUCAGCGCGCCGAGACAGGGCCGAGAAAGGCAUCUCGUCUCUUCCUUCUUCUCCCCCCAUUUUUCAGACGGGGACGUUGAGGCCAAGGCGCAUGGAUCACAGAUGACUCGGAGGAUGCCUGGCCCCUCGCCGCUCUCACUUGAGGGCAACGUCACCCAGGCCUGGUCGGCCCAGUCUCCCCUCCUGGCUCGCGCAGGCGGGACGCGGAGCCACGUGCUCCGCGGCCAGCCCCGCCCCCACCCUGCUCCAUCCACACGGCUGGAGUCUGGAGUCGCUUACCCCGAUGUUCGUGGGCUUUGCCUCUGGUGUGGAUGGUUCCGCUUCGGCUCUGCUUUGGGUCCCCCUCUAAUUGCAAAUGUUGUAAGAUGUCCAUUGUGGAAAAGUGAGAACGUACAGACCGAGGAGAAGCAAAUGAAGACGCCGUAUCCCGUGCCUCCAGGGUAACGACAGUCCCGUUUCAGGGCUCUUCCCUCCCGUCGGAUGUGUACAGCUGUUUCUGUAGAAAUGAGAGUACGCCAGCAUUCUGUUGCAAAUCUCUUUGUAAUCGUGAUAAAUGGGCAACGUCUUUCCAUGCUCUCAAAUGCUUUGCUUCUACAACAAAUUAUGCCAUUUCCAUUUUUAUCAUGACACAAGGUUUUGUGAAAGAAUUGCCACCAUCAAUCCGUGAAGGUCACACACUCUUCAGCACAUGUCCCUCGAGCCCUGGUCCCUGGGGCAGCGCUUCCCGCGCCUCGGCAGGGCUCUCGGGUCCCACGCACCUGCAGAGCUGGGUUGGCGUUUGUUUAAAUGAUCCCUCACCUUGGACACUGGGGUAGGCGCAUGGCUUCGGCUUGAAGCCCACGGGCAUCCAGUGUGACCAGGGAAAGCUCCAGGUACCAGAGGCCGAUCCGUUUCUCCCAGAAAAUGUCACCAGUACGUCGUUCUGAGCGACAGCCUCAACAACAGGCUGGCAGCAAACUCAGGAACGCGUCCCACCCGUCUGCUCCCUGGGGAGGUCCUGCUUGUGUCCAUUUUUCAAAUGAAUACAAGUCAUACACAUUCUGUACAGAAACGAAUUUAAAUACAAAUACGCAAACCUAAGAAAACUAA
This 1098-nucleotide long non-coding RNA is filed under the name Sus scrofa (pig). RNAcentral describes it as "lncRNA (ENSSSCG00050006485.1)". The record is from RNAcentral. Lineage: Eukaryota; Metazoa; Chordata; Mammalia; Artiodactyla; Suidae.